GAUGAACGCUGGCGGCGUGCUUAACACAUGCAAGUCGAACGAAGCACUUUAACCUGAUUCUUCGGAUGAAGGUUUUUGUGACUGAGUGGCGGACGGGUGAGUAACGCGUGGGUAACCUGCCUCAUACAGGGGGAUAACAGUUAGAAAUGACUGCUAAUACCGCAUAAGACCACAGAGCCGCAUGGCUCAGUGGGAAAAACUCCGGUGGUAUGAGAUGGACCCGCGUCUGAUUAGGUAGUUGGUGGGGUAACGGCCUACCAAGCCAACGAUCAGUAGCCGACCUGAGAGGGUGACCGGCCACAUUGGGACUGAGACACGGCCCAAACUCCUACGGGAGGCAGCAGUGGGGAAUAUUGCACAAUGGGGGAAACCCUGAUGCAGCGACGCCGCGUGAGCGAAGAAGUAUUUCGGUAUGUAAAGCUCUAUCAGCAGGGAAGAAAAUGACGGUACCUGACUAAGAAGCACCGGCUA
RNAcentral lists this ribosomal RNA (471 nucleotides) under uncultured bacterium. RNAcentral describes it as "bacterial SSU rRNA". It matches the Rfam family "Bacterial small subunit ribosomal RNA", at positions 28 to 499 of the family's 1533-position model. The record is from RNAcentral.